AUUGUCGGCAACUUCAAAGGCAUGUUAAAACGUAACGUAAGACCUGUCGGCCUUCCUUUGAUGCGGUUAACUACAACGUCCUCUUUGGUUCCUUGGAGGAGGAAGAGGGAGUCUUUAGGGGUGGAGAAGGGGUGAAUCUGUAUACAGUGUUUACAGCUAAAGGAGCAAAGGCCUAACGUUAACAAAAAAAUGGUAAUUGGGACUUGAAAAGUAUAUUUGAUCUAUGGAACAAGGUUAACUUUUCUUCAACUUGACUGAUUUGCUUUCCCAUUUCUUCUUCUUCUUAAUUAUCAUCAUCAUCAUCAUCUUCUUCUUUUUAAUCAUUCCCAUCAUCUUGAUCAUCAUCAUGGUCAUCGUAAUCAUUAUCAUCAACAAGUAAGUAAAGAUGGAAAAAAAAGAUUAUGAGUUUUCUCUCACCUUUUUAUAAUGAACCGGCAAAUAUGUGUAAAAAUACAUCUCAGUUUCAAAGUAAAGAAGAGCCUACCUCUUCAUUUUUCAUCACCAUCAACAUUACCAUCAACAUCAUCAUCAACAUCAUGGUAAUCAUCAACUCUUCGGCAGUUAUUUUCACCUUUUCAUCUUUCAUCGGAUAAAGAUUGGUUUCUUUUUUUUGUUCAUCUGAAGAUGUUUUUCCUUUCCUUUGCUUCACUCAUCUGUAAGUGAACCAUGAUUAGGUGUUGUUGUAAGAUUUGUCUGACUCAUUUUCUUCCAUUAUCUUCAUCAUUAUCAUCAUUAUCUUCUUCUGCUUUUCUUCUUGCCUCACUGUUAAAAUGACUGUUAAUGCAGUUGAUUUCAUUUUUUGAUGCCGCUGAAAGUGAUAACAGACAAAUUGCUGGGAUUCGCAAUCUUUUGGCGAUCAACAACAAAGCCAUUGAUUCGUCAUUGGAUCAACAAAUCAAAUCAAUAUGGCAACGAAAUGAAGUUGUCAGUGUUAGUAACUCUCAUGAUUUCCUAGUUUUUUCAAAUCUUCAAUUUCAAAAUCACCAGUUUGGAAUGGCAUUUCAUUGGAUUUAACUGGUCUUAACAUGGACUGAACAUCUAAACAUCAGCUAUGGUUUACCUGAUGUUUUACAAUGAUUUUCAAUGAUUUUGCAGACCAUGAACUUAUUCAAGUUUAUGUUAGUGAAUGUUUACUCAAACUGAACAUGCAUUAAGCAAAAUCAUUUGAAAUGCAGCUUAAAUAUUUGUCGAUUUGUUGCUUAAAAUUUAAUUUCAACUGCAGCUGAUAUUUGCUUGAAAUUAGCGGUCAUUAGUCGAAUAUUGAUUCAGAAAUUAUUCAUUAACUAUGUUUACUGUUGAGAUUUGGUUAUUCGUUUCCCAUACAGAUUAAACUCAUAUCACUUUCUGUUGUUUG
This is a non-coding RNA of Tetranychus urticae (two-spotted spider mite), 1354 nucleotides long. NCBI's taxonomy places the organism in Eukaryota, Metazoa, Arthropoda, Arachnida, Trombidiformes, Tetranychidae. The record is from RefSeq and is a predicted model, not a curated record.